This 430-nucleotide ribosomal RNA is filed under the name uncultured archaeon. RNAcentral describes it as "bacterial SSU rRNA". It matches the Rfam family "Archaeal small subunit ribosomal RNA", at positions 474 to 903 of the family's 1478-position model. The record is from RNAcentral.
UACCGGCUCUCCGAGUGGUAGGGAUGAUUAUUGGGCUUAAAGCGUCCGUAGCCGGCUUAGCAAGUCUCCUGUUAAAUUCAGCGACCUAAUCGUUGAGCCGCGGGAGAUACUACUAGGCUAGGAGGCGGGAGAGGUCAACGGUACUUCCGGGGUAGGGGUGAAAUCCUAUAAUCCCGGGAGGACCACCAGUGGCGAAGGCUGUUGACGAGAACGCGCUCGACGGUGAGGGACGAAAGCUGGGGGAGCGAACCGGAUUAGAUACCCGGGUAGUCCCAGCUGUAAACGAUGCGAGCUAGGUGUUGGGGUGGCUACGUGCCACUUCAGUGCCGCAGGGAAGCCAUUAAGCUCGCCGCCUGGGGAGUACGGCCGCAAGGCUGAAACUUAAAGGAAUUGGCGGGGGAGCGACCACAAGGCGUGAAGCUUGCGGUUC